AUUGAACGCUGGCGGCAUGCCUUACACAUGCAAGUCGAACGGCAGCACGGGUGCUUGCACCUGGUGGCGAGUGGCGAACGGGUGAGUAAUAUAUCGGAACGUACCUUAUUGUGGGGGAUAACGCAGCGAAAGCUGUGCUAAUACCGCAUAAUCCCUAAGGGGGAAAGCGGGGGACCGUAAGGCCUCGCGCAAUUAGAGCGGCCGAUACCUGAUUAGCUAGUUGGUGAGGUAAAGGCUCACCAAGGCAACGAUCAGUAGCUGGUCUGAGAGGACGAUCAGCCACAGUGGGACGUGGAGCCGGCCCAGACUCCUACGGGAGGCAGCAGUGGGGAAUUUUGGACAAUGGGGGCAACCCUGAUCCAGCAAUGCCGCGUGAGUGAAGAAGGCCUUCGGGUUGUAAAGCUCUUUUGUCAGGGAAGAAACAGCAGCUCUAACACAGUAUGCGAAUGACGGUACCUGAAGAAUAAGCACCGGCUAACUACGUGCCAGCAGCCGCCGUAA
This 501-nucleotide ribosomal RNA is filed under the name uncultured bacterium. RNAcentral's name for it is "partial 16S ribosomal RNA". It matches the Rfam family "Bacterial small subunit ribosomal RNA", at positions 30 to 523 of the family's 1533-position model. The record is from RNAcentral.